This 439-nucleotide ribosomal RNA is filed under the name uncultured bacterium. RNAcentral describes it as "partial 16S ribosomal RNA". It matches the Rfam family "Bacterial small subunit ribosomal RNA", at positions 339 to 795 of the family's 1533-position model. The record is from RNAcentral.
CUACGGGUGGCAGCAGUGGGGAAUAUUGCACAAUUGGGGGAAACCUGAUGCAGCAACGCCGCGUGGGUGAAGAAGUAUUUCGGUAUGUAAAGCCCUGUCAGCAGGGAAGAAGGAGACGGUACCUGACCAAGAAGCCCCGGCUAACUACGUGCCAGCAGCCGCGGUAAUACGUAGGGGGCAAGCGUUAUCCGGAUUUACUGGGUGUAAAGGGAGCGUAGACGGCACUGCAAGUCUGGAGUGAAAGCCCGAGGCCCAACCACGGGACUGCUCUGGAAACUGCGGGGCUGGAGUGCAGGAGGGGUAAGCGGAAUUCCUAGUGUAGCGGUGAAAUGCGUAGAUAUUAGGAGGAACACCGGUGGCGAAGGCGGCUUACUGGACUGUAACUGACGUUGAGGCUCGAAGGCGUGGGGAGCAAACAGGAUUAGAUACCCGUGUAGUC